UACGUAGGGGGCAAGCGUUGUUCGGAUUCAUUGGGCGUAAAGGGCGCGUAGGCGGCUUUUCAAGUGAAGGGUGAAAUCCCUCGGCUUAACCGAGGAACUGCCUGUCAGACUGGAAGGCUUGAGACCGGGAGAGGUGAGUGGAAUUCCCAGUGUAGCGGUGAAAUGCGUAGAUAUUGGGAGGAACACCAGUGGCGAAGGCGGCUCACUGGACCGGAACUGACGCUGAGGCGCGAAAGCGUGGGGAGCAAACAGG
This 253-nucleotide ribosomal RNA is filed under the name uncultured bacterium. Its description in RNAcentral is "partial 16S ribosomal RNA". It matches the Rfam family "Bacterial small subunit ribosomal RNA", at positions 524 to 776 of the family's 1533-position model. The record is from RNAcentral.